GUGGGGAAUAUUGGACAAUGGGCGAAAGCCUGAUCCAGCCAUGCCGCGUGUGUGAAGAAGGUCUUCGGAUUGUAAAGCACUUUAAGUUGGGAGGAAGGGCAGUAAGUUAAUACCUUGCUGUUUUGACGUUACCGACAGAAUAAGCACCGGCUAACUUCGUGCCAGCAGCCGCGGUAAUACGAAGGGUGCAAGCGUUAAUCGGAAUUACUGGGCGUAAAGCGCGCGUAGGUGGUUUUGUAAGUUGGAGGUGUAAUGCCCGGGCUCAACCUGGGAACUUCCUCCAAAACUGCAUGACUAGAGGACGGUAUAGGGUAGUUGAAUUUCCUGUGUAGCGGUGAAAUGCGUAGAUAUAGGAAGGAACACCAGUGGCGAAGGCGACUACCUGGACUGAUACUGACACUGAGGUGCGAAAGCGUGGGGAGCAAACAGGAUUAGAAACCCGAGUAGUCC
RNAcentral lists this ribosomal RNA (450 nucleotides) under uncultured bacterium. RNAcentral's name for it is "bacterial SSU rRNA". It matches the Rfam family "Bacterial small subunit ribosomal RNA", at positions 354 to 796 of the family's 1533-position model. The record is from RNAcentral.